This 253-nucleotide ribosomal RNA is filed under the name uncultured bacterium. RNAcentral describes it as "partial 16S ribosomal RNA". It matches the Rfam family "Bacterial small subunit ribosomal RNA", at positions 524 to 776 of the family's 1533-position model. The record is from RNAcentral.
UACGUAGGGUGCGAGCGUUGUCCGGAAUUAUUGGGCGUAAAGAGCGCGUAGGCGGUCCGAUAAGUCGGCUGUGAAAGUCAGGGGCUCAACCCUUGAAAGCCGGCCGAUACUGCCGGGCUAGAGUCCGGAAGAGGCGAGUGGAACUCCUGGUGUAGCGGUGGAAUGCGCAGAUAUCAGGAAGAACACCGACGGCGAAGGCAGCUCGCUGGGACGGUACUGACGCUGAGGCGCGAAAGCGUGGGGAGCGAACAGG